AAGUCGUAACAAGGUAACCGUAGGUGAACCUGCGGUUGGAUCAUUAAUAAAAGAAGGGCUUUAGAGCCCCCUUUAACUCUAGUGUCUGCCUAAAAAACAGCGCUAGUCAACCCUUGUGUGAACCGUUUAUUGUCUCUGGUGGGAUUACUCUCGAGUGCCCACCAGUUAAUUUAUUAAACCCCUUUUUUAAACCAAGUCUUAUCAAAUAUAAAAAUUUGAAACAACUUUUGACAACGGAUCUCUUGGCUCUCGGAACGAUGAAGAACCAGC
This 270-nucleotide unclassified non-coding RNA is filed under the name fungal sp. RNAcentral's name for it is "partial internal transcribed spacer region". The stretch from base 1 to 46 matches the Rfam family "Eukaryotic small subunit ribosomal RNA", at positions 1786 to 1831 of the family's 1831-position model. Lineage: Eukaryota; Fungi. The record is from RNAcentral.